UUAUAUACAACCUCAACUCAUAUGGGACUACCCCCUGAAUUUAAGCAUAUUAAUUAGGGGAGGAAAAGAAACUAACAAGGAUUUUCUUAGUAGCGGCGAGCGAAAAGAAAACAGUUCAGCACUAAGUCACUUUGUCUAUAUGGCAAAUGUGAGAUGCAGUGUAUGGAGCGUCAAUAUUCUAGUAUGAGAAAUUAACGAUUUAAGUCCUUCUUAAAUGAGGCCCGUAUAACGUUAAUGAUUACUAGAUGAUGUUUCCAAAGAGUCGUGUUGCUUGAUAGUGCAGCACUAAGUGGGUGGUAAACUCCAUCUAAAACUAAAUAUAACCAUGAGACCGAUAGUAAACAAGUACCGUGAGGGAAAGUUGAAAAGAACUCUGAAUAGAGAGUUAAACAGUACGUGAAACUGCUUAGAGGUUAAGCCCGAUGAACCUGAAUAUCCGUUAUGGAAAAUUCAUCAUUAAAAUUGUAAUAUUUAAAUAAUAUUAUGAGAAUAGUGUGCAUUUUUUCCAUAUAAGGACAUUGUAAUCUAUUAGCAUAUACCAAAUUUAUCAUAAAAUAUAACUUAUAGUUUAUUCCAAUUAAAUUGCUUGCAUUUUAACACAGAAUAAAUGUUAUUAAUUUGAUAAAGUGCUGAUAGAUUUAUAUGAUUACAGUGCGUUAAUUUUUCGGAAUUAUAUAAUGGCAUAAUUAUCAUUGAUUUUUGUGUUUAUUAUAUGCACUUGUAUGAUUAACAAUGCGAAAGAUUCAGGAUACCUUCGGGACCCGUCUUGAAACACGGACCAAGGAGUCUAACAUAUGUGCAAGUUAUUGGGAUAUAAACCUAAUAGCGUAAUUAACUUGACUAAUAAUGGGAUUAGUUUUUUAGCUAUUUAUAGCUAAUUAACACAAUCCCGGGGCGUUCUAUAUAGUUAUGUAUAAUGUAUAUUUAUAUUAUUUAUGCCUCUAACUGGAACGUACCUUGAGCAUAUAUGCUGUGACCCGAAAGAUGGUGAACUAUACUUGAUCAGGUUGAAGUCAGGGGAAACCCUGAUGGAAGACCGAAACAGUUCUGACGUGCAAAUCGAUUGUCAGAAUUGAGUAUAGGGGCGAAAGACCAAUCGAACCAUCUAGUAGCUGGUUCCUUCCGAAGUUUCCCUCAGGAUAGCUGGUGCAUUUUAAUAUUAUAUAAAAUAAUCUUAUCUGGUAAAGCGAAUGAUUAGAGGCCUUAGGGUCGAAACGAUCUUAACCUAUUCUCAAACUUUAAAUGGGUAAGAACCUUAACUUUCUUGAUAUGAAGAUCAAGGUUAUGAUAUAAAUGUCCCAGUGGGCCACUUUUGGUAAGCAGAACUGGCGCUGUGGGAUGAACCAAACGUAAUGUUACGUGCCCAAAUUAACAACUCAUGCAGAUACCAUGAAAGGCGUUGGUUGCUUAAAACAGCAGGACGGUGAUCAUGGAAGUCGAAAUCCGCUAAGGAGUGUGUAACAACUCACCUGCCGAAGCAACUAGCCCUUAAAAUGGAUGGCGCUUAAGUUGUAUACCUAUACAUUACCGCUAAAGUAGAUGAUUUAUAUUACUUGUGAUAUAAAUUUUGAAACUUUAGUGAGUAGGAAGGUACAAUGGUAUGCGUAGAAGUGUUUGGCGUAAGCCUGCAUGGAGCUGCCAUUGGUACAGAUCUUGGUGGAUAGUAGCAAAUAAUCGAAUGAGAGCCUUGGAGGACUGAAGUGGAGAAGGGUUUCGUGUGAACAGUGGUUGAUCACGAGUUAGUCGGUCCUAAGUUCAAGGCGAAAGCGAAAAUUUUCAAGUAAAACAUAAUUUUGAACGAAAGGGAAUACGGUUCCAAUUCCGUAACCUGUUGAGUAUCCGUUUGUUAUUAAAUAUGGGCCUCGUGCUCAUCCUGGCAACAGGAACGACCAUAAAGAAGCCGUCGAGAGAUAUCGGAAGAGUUUUCUUUUCUGUUUUAUAGCCGUACUACCAUGGAAGUCUUUCGCAGAGAGAUAUGGUAGAUGGGCUAGAAGAGCAUGACAUAUACUGUUGUGUCGAUAUUUUCUCCUCGGACCUUGAAAAUUUAUGGUGGGGACACGCAAACUUCUCAACAGGCCGUACCAAUAUCCGCAGCUGGUCUCCAAGGUGAAGAGUCUCUAGUCGAUAGAAUAAUGUAGGUAAGGGAAGUCGGCAAAUUAGAUCCGUAACUUCGGGAUAAGGAUUGGCUCUGAAGAUUGAGAUAGUCGGCCUUGAUUGGGAAACAAUAACAUGGUUUAUGUGCUCGUUCUGGGUAAAUAGAGUUUCUAGCAUUUAUGUUAGUUACUUGUUCCCCGGAUAGUUUAGUUACGUAGCCAAUUGUGGAACUUUCUUGCUAAAAUUUUUAAGAAUACUAUUUGGGUUAAACCAAUUAGUUCUUAUUAAUUAUAACGAUUAUCAAUUAACAAUCAAUUCAGAACUGGCACGGACUUGGGGAAUCCGACUGUCUAAUUAAAACAAAGCAUUGUGAUGGCCCUAGCGGGUGUUGACACAAUGUGAUUUCUGCCCAGUGCUCUGAAUGUCAAAGUGAAGAAAUUCAAGUAAGCGCGGGUCAACGGCGGGAGUAACUAUGACUCUCUUAAGGUAGCCAAAUGCCUCGUCAUCUAAUUAGUGACGCGCAUGAAUGGAUUAACGAGAUUCCUACUGUCCCUAUCUACUAUCUAGCGAAACCACAGCCAAGGGAACGGGCUUGGAAUAAUUAGCGGGGAAAGAAGACCCUUUUGAGCUUGACUCUAAUCUGGCAGUGUAAGGAGACAUAAGAGGUGUAGAAUAAGUGGGAGAUAUUAGACCUCGGUUUGGUAUCGUCAAUGAAAUACCACUACUCUUAUUGUUUCCUUACUUACUUGAUUAAAUGGAACGUGUAUCAUUUCCUAGCCAUUAUACGGAUAUAUUUAUUAUAUCUUAUGGUAUUGGGUUUUGAUGCAAGCUUCUUGAUCAAAGUAUCACGAGUUUGUUAUAUAAUCGCAAACAAAUUCUUUAAUAAAACGAUGCAUUUAUGUAUUUUUGAUUUGAAAAUUUGGUAUAACUCCAAUUACUCAGGUAUGAUCCAAUUCAAGGACAUUGCCAGGUAGGGAGUUUGACUGGGGCGGUACAUCUCUCAAAUAAUAACGGAGGUGUCCCAAGGCCAGCUCAGUGCGGACAGAAACCACACAUAGAGCAAAAGGGCAAAUGCUGACUUGAUCUCGGUGUUCAGUACACACAGGGACAGCAAAAGCUCGGCCUAUCGAUCCUUUUGGUUUAAAGAGUUUUUAACAAGAGGUGUCAGAAAAGUUACCAUAGGGAUAACUGGCUUGUGGCGGCCAAGCGUUCAUAGCGACGUCGCUUUUUGAUCCUUCGAUGUCGGCUCUUCCUAUCAUUGUGAAGCAAAAUUCACCAAGCGUUGGAUUGUUCACCCAUGCAAGGGAACGUGAGCUGGGUUUAGACCGUCGUGAGACAGGUUAGUUUUACCCUACUAAUGACAAAACGUUGUUGCGACAGCAUUCCUGCGUAGUACGAGAGGAACCCGCAGGUACGGACCAAUGGCACAAUACUUGUUCGAGCGAACAGUGGUAUGACGCUACGUCCGUUGGAUUAUGCCUGAACGCCUCUAAGGUCGUAUCCGUGCUGGACUGCAAUGAUAAAUAAGGGGCAAUUUGCAUUGUAUGGCUUCUAAACCAUUUAAAGUUUAUAAUUUACUUUAUAAACGACAAUGGAUGUGAUGCCAAUGUAAUUUGUAACAUAGUAAAUUGGGAGGAUCUUCGAUCACCUGAUGCCGCGCUAGUUACAUAUAAAAGCAUUAUUUAAUACAAUGACAAAGCCUAGAAUCAAUUGUAAACGACUUUUGUAACAGGCAAGGUGUUGUAAGUGGUUGAGCAGCUGCCAUACUGCGAUCCACUGAAGCUUAUCCUUUGCUUGAUGAUUCGA
Molecule: ribosomal RNA, 3900 nt
Filed under: Drosophila melanogaster (fruit fly)
Lineage: Eukaryota; Metazoa; Arthropoda; Insecta; Diptera; Drosophilidae
Description: eukaryotic LSU rRNA
Rfam family: Eukaryotic large subunit ribosomal RNA
Source: RNAcentral